UCACCCCAAACACGCCCCAACCACUUGUGCGACACAAGGGCUACCAUACAGUAGCGCGCGACACCUAAUCGCGUGCGCCGGAGUGUGCGAGCAAACAUUGUACGGAGGAGCUCGUUUGGGCCCUAGGACGCAGGGCCUGGGCUGGCAUUUGGUGCAUUCAAUAGAGCAUAGAAAACCGAGGCCACAUAUGUGCUCGGGUGCGCAAAGGUCGGCGGAAUUGUGGGAUCAAGUGACGUGGAAAUGGAUCUGGGGGACUGCGGGGUUUUGGGGUGUGUUGGGUUGGUGGCGUGAAGGGUGUGAUUUGUGAGGAAUUUAUCGAUGCAUGCCAAGUUGCACGCCUUUCCCCUGUGUUUCCUACAUGCCCCUGAACCCUCCCUUUGCUGGCUGCAGGCGAAGCGACAAGUGGUACCGCUGGUACCACCCACGGGGGCCUUGUGCCCAAGCCG
Molecule: long non-coding RNA, 446 nt
Filed under: Chlamydomonas reinhardtii
Lineage: Eukaryota; Viridiplantae; Chlorophyta; Chlorophyceae; Chlamydomonadales; Chlamydomonadaceae
Description: long non-coding RNA (CREI_LNC001008)
Source: RNAcentral